CUCCUCCCAGGGUCGCACCUGGAGAGUUUCCAACACCCUACCAGUCUCGACUGUGGGAGGGAGAGUUGAGCAGAGGCCUGCCCAUUCCAUUCCUAGCUUGGGCAGUGGCUGGCCAGUGGAAGGCUAUCUGCUGCAAGU
This is a non-coding RNA of Ornithorhynchus anatinus (platypus), 138 nucleotides long. The record is from Rfam. NCBI's taxonomy places the organism in Eukaryota, Metazoa, Chordata, Mammalia, Monotremata, Ornithorhynchidae.